GGGUUUCACUGUGAAGGAGAAGGAGAAGAGAAAGAUUGAGAAUGGCAUUAUCUUCAUCAAGUACGACGCUAAUCCCUUCUCUUGCUACUUCUUCUUCAUUCUCUUCUAAACCAACAGCACCAACCAAGCUCUUUGCUUCUUCUUCUUCUUCUUUGUCUGUAUUCUCCAAUUCUGUUAAUGUUGCCUUUAGCUCCCUAAAGCUAUCACCCUCAACAACCAGGGUUUUUGCUGCUCCUGAGACUUUGGAUUCUGAAGAUACUCUAGACCCACCUCCAGAAACCCUUGAUGAAUCUGACUCUGAUACUUUUCAGUUGGAGUCCCACAUUUCUUGAAAGUGAAUAUAUAACAAGGGAACCAAGCCAAAUUCGAAUUUGGUGAAGACGACCCGGAACUCGAACAACUAAACCAUACAUGCCGACAGUCUUCAGGGG
RNAcentral lists this unclassified non-coding RNA (431 nucleotides) under Hevea brasiliensis (rubber tree). Lineage: Eukaryota; Viridiplantae; Streptophyta; Magnoliopsida; Malpighiales; Euphorbiaceae. The record is from RNAcentral.